ACCAGACUCCUACGGGAGGCAGCAGUGGGGAAUAUUGGGCAAUGGGCGCAAGCCUGACCCAGCAACGCCGCGUGAAGGAAGAAGGCCCUCGGGUUGUAAACUUCUUUUAUCAGGGACGAAACAAAUGACGGUACCUGAUGAAUAAGCCACGGCUAACUCCGUGCCAGCAGCCGCGGUAAUACGGAGGAUGCGAGCGUUAUCCGGAUUUAUUGGGUUUAAAGGGUGCGUAGGCGGGCUUUUAAGUCAGCGGUAAAAAUUCGGGGCUCAACCCCGUCCGGCCGUUGAAACUGGGGGCCUUGAGUGGGCGAGAAGAAGGCGGAAUGCGUGGUGUAGCGGUGAAAUGCUUAGAUAUCACGAAGAACUCCGAUUGCGAAGGCAGCCUACUAAACUGCCACUGACAUUGAUGCUCGAAAGUGUGGGUAUCAAACAGGAUUAGAUACCCGGGUAGA
Molecule: ribosomal RNA, 449 nt
Filed under: uncultured bacterium
Lineage: Bacteria
Description: partial 16S ribosomal RNA
Rfam family: Bacterial small subunit ribosomal RNA
Source: RNAcentral